AUGAUUGCUCUGUUAAUUUUAGUUAAGUGUUCAAACUAUGAGGAGGGGAGCCGCCAUGUCGGCGCCGCCAGGAGAACUCGGGCCGGACCCGGCGCCCGGAACUUCUGCACCGCGGGCCGCGGCCUGGAGCCGUUCCUGAUGCGCGAGGUGCGGGCGCGGCUGGCGGCCACGCAGGUUGAAUAUACUUCAGGAAAGGUAUUUUUUUACCACCUGUUCUGAUGUGAAUAUGCUGAAGAAAUUAAAAUCUGCAGAAAGGUUAUUUUUGCUUAUUAAAAAGGAGUUCCCACUUGCUAUUUCUUCUGUAAGAAAAGGAAAAAUAUUUAAUGAAAUGCAAAGACUUAUAAAUGAUCCAGGAAGUUGGUUGAAUGCCAUUUCACUUUGGAAAAAGCUUCUUGAACUUGAUGCAAAAAAGGAAAAACUUUCUCAAAAAGAUGCUAACCUACUAAAAAGAAAAGUAGGAGAAAAUGAAAUCAUCAUUGCUAAGAAAUUAAAAAUAGAACAGCUGCAAAAGAUAGAGGAGAAUAGGGAAUGCCAGAUGGAAAAACAAAUAGAAGAAGAAACUCUGGAGCAAAGAGAUUUUAUCACCAAAGGAGAAAAAUUUCAAGAAGAGGAAUUUCAGAAUGAUAUAGAGAAAGCAACUAUUACUCAUAACCAGAGUAGCUUGACUUUCAGAGUUUCUUGUCGCUGCAGUGGAACUGUUGGAAAGGCGUUUUCUGCACAGGAGGUAGGAAAAGUAAUUGGAAUUGCUCUUAUGAAACAGUUUGGAUGGAAAGCAGAUUUGAGGAAUCCAAAUUUAGAGAUCUUUGUACAUCUAAAUGACAUUUACUCUGUGGUGGGGAUUCCUGUGUUCAGAGUUCCUUUAGCCAGCAGAACUUACAUCAAGACGGCUGGGCUGAGAUCUACCAUAGCAUGGGCAAUGGCAUCUCUCGCUGAAAUUAAGGCUGGUGCAUUUGUUUUAGAUCCAAUGUGUGGACUUGGAACAAUACUUUUAGAAGCUGCUAAGGAAUGGCCAAAUUGCCAUUGCCUUCAGAAAGUGUUGAUAUUAUUAUUUCUGACAUUCCAUUUGGGAAAAAGUUUAAGUUAGGAAAGGACAUCAAAAGCAUUCUACAAGAAAUGGAAAGAGUGCUUCGUGUUGGCGGAACCAUUGUAUUGUUGCUUAGCGAAGAUCACCACAGGCGCCUUAAAGAUUGCGAAGAAAGCAGCAUCCCUUUAAAUUCCAAGAACAGUUACACAGAUGAACCUGGAAUUAAAAGGUGCUUGAAUCUGGAAGAAACAACUGGCUUAUCAGAGACAGAAUUGUCUUCAUUUGAAGCCAGUAACCAGGAGUGCCUAGAAAAAAUGUCACCAUUUGGC
RNA transcript from Propithecus coquereli (Coquerel's sifaka), 1353 nucleotides. It is a transcript of the gene named THUMP domain-containing protein 2 pseudogene, with no coding region annotated. The transcript is spliced from 2 exons. NCBI's taxonomy places the organism in Eukaryota, Metazoa, Chordata, Mammalia, Primates, Indriidae. The record is from RefSeq and is a predicted model, not a curated record.